UGGGGAAUAUUGGGGCAAUGGGGCGAAAGCCUGACCCAGCAACGCCGCGUGAAGGAAGAAGGCCCUCGGGUUGUAAACUUCUUUUACCAGGGACGAAGGACGUGACGGUACCUGGAGAACAAGCCACGGCUAACUACGUGCCAGCAGCCGCGGUAAUACGUAGGUGGCGAGCGUUGUCCGGAUUUACUGGGUGUAGAGGGCGUGUAGGCGGGACUGCAAGUCAGAUGUGAAAUACGGAGGCUUAACCUCCGAGCUGCAUUUGAAACUGCAAUUCUUGAGUGAUGGAGAGGUAAGCGGAAUUCCCAGUGUAGCGGUAAAAUGCGUAGAUAUUGGGAGGAACACCAGUGGCGAAGGCGGCUUACUGGACAUUAACUGACGCUGAGGCGCGAAAGUGUGGGGAGCAAACAGGAUUAGAUACCCUGGUAGU
Molecule: ribosomal RNA, 427 nt
Filed under: uncultured Oscillospiraceae bacterium
Lineage: Bacteria; Bacillati; Bacillota; Clostridia; Eubacteriales; Oscillospiraceae
Description: bacterial SSU rRNA
Rfam family: Bacterial small subunit ribosomal RNA
Source: RNAcentral